Molecule: ribosomal RNA, 794 nt
Filed under: uncultured bacterium
Lineage: Bacteria
Description: bacterial SSU rRNA
Rfam family: Bacterial small subunit ribosomal RNA
Source: RNAcentral
GGCAGACGGGUGAGUAACGCGUAUGCAACCUAUCCUAUACAGGGGGAUAACCCGGAGAAAUUCGGACUAAUACCCCAUAACAUUAUUGACAGGCAUCUGUUGAUAAUUAAAGUUCCGGCGGUAUGGGCUGGGCAUGCGUAACAUUAGCUAGUUGGUAAGGUAACGGCCUACCAAGGCUUUGUUGUUUAGGGGUCCUGAGAGGGUGAUCCCCCACACUGGUACUGAGACACGGACCAGACUCCUACGGGAGGCAGCAGUGAGGAAUAUUGGUCAAUGGGCGCAAGCCUGAACCAGCCAUCCCGCGUGCAGGAAGACGGCCCUAUGGGUUGUAAACUGCUUUUCCAGAGGACGAAACUCCGGUACGUGUACCGGAUUGACGGUACCCUGGGAAUAAGCAUCGGCUAACUCCGUGCCAGCAGCCGCGGUAAUACGGAGGAUGCAAGCGUUAUCCGGAUUCAUUGGGUUUAAAGGGUGCGUAGGCGGGCUAUUAAGUCAGUGGUGAAAUCCUGCAGCUUAACUGCAGAACUGCCAUUGAUACUGAUAGUCUUGAGUUUGGUUAAGGUAGGCGGAAUGUGUAAUGUAGCGGUGAAAUGCUUAGAUAUUACACAGAACACCAAUUGCGAAGGCAGCUCACUAAGCUGUUACUGACGCUGAGGCACGAAAGCGUGGAGGAGCAAACAGGAUUAGAUACCCUGGUAGUCCACGCUGUAAACGAUGAUCACUCGUUGUUGGCGAUAUACCGUCAGCGACUGAGCGAAAGCAUAAGUGAUCCACCUGGGAGUACGGCGGCAACG